AAAGCUGAAAGUCGGUUUCGGCUGACACUUACAGAUGGGCCCGCGGCGCAUUAGCUAGUUGGUGAGGUAACGGCUCACCAAGGCGACGAUGCGUAGCCGACCUGAGAGGGUGAUCGGCCACACUGGGACUGAGACACGGCCCAGACUCCUACGGGAGGCAGCAGUAGGGAAUCUUCCACAAUGGACGAAAGUCUGAUGGAGCAACGCCGCGUGAGCGAUGAAGGCCUUCGGGUCGUAAAGCUCUGUUGUUAGGGAAGAACAAGUACCGGAGUAACUGCCGGUACCUUGACGGUACCUAACCAGAAAGCCACGGCUAACUA
RNAcentral lists this ribosomal RNA (320 nucleotides) under Bacillaceae bacterium CL1.78. Its description in RNAcentral is "bacterial SSU rRNA". It matches the Rfam family "Bacterial small subunit ribosomal RNA", at positions 196 to 503 of the family's 1533-position model. The record is from RNAcentral. Lineage: Bacteria; Bacillati; Bacillota; Bacilli; Caryophanales; Bacillaceae.